CCUGCAGGAGCAGCCUGAGAACAAGUCUGGCAACACAAGGGAGCGUGUGUUCCCUUAAAUCAUUUCAACAAAGGACUAUAUUCAUGCCACCUUUUUUUUUUUGUGAUGUGGAAAGCAGUAAAAUCCUCUCCUGGAAAUCCUGUGCCUGGCUGUGUUGGCGACCUGGCGUGCGCUUUUACGCGCGGCCGCACGGUGGCGACCUGCGCUGCGCCGCCAGCUCACCACCAUCUGAACGUUUCCUCAUAAAGAACCCGGGACUCGUCCUCAUCCGACGCACACCGGCAGCCGGGCUCUCCUCCGCGGCAGGCUCCGACCAUGACAGCGUGACUGCGUGCAGGUUUCUCCCCCCGCUGCCCUCAUUCUCCGCUCUCCGAGCCGCUGAACUUCUUCCCAGCGCUCCUGUCAGACUGAAUUGCCGACCUUGACAGCGCGCUGUGGGGGAGGAUUCGAGUUAAAGUCUGUCCGGAGAAAGAAAAAAAAAAACAACUGUAAGCACUCGGUUGCGGACUGGGAGAGUGAAGUUAGAAGUAAGAGGCGGAAAACUGCAACAUCUCAAGGACGCGAGGAAAAAAAGUGCGAGGCGCGGAUCGUCACAGGUGCAGCGAGCAGCGGACUGGGUUUGGAUUUAACCUGGAUUCAUCUGACUGAGUUGCAUCCAGCACUUCAGAGAAACCAACUAACAGGCACCCGCUGGAGGAUCGUCAGUGUAUCCUGCGGGGGUCCGUGUGAGAACAGGUACAGGACUGUUGGACCGAACAGGCUGCGGACCCUCGGCUUUUUUUUUUUGUUGCGCGCCCACCUCGGUGCGCUCUGCCCGGCUCGAGUGGCGGCAGGAGACCCCCGGCAGCAGCAGCAGCAGCAGCGGCGGCGGCGGCAGCAGGAGGACCAGGAGGAAGAAGGAGGAGGACAGCAGAACCAGAACCACACUUCCACGCUUCCAGCUCACCGGGCACUUGUUGUCCAGCCUGCCUCUCCGGUUUGGAACAAUGUUUGCGGACUCCUGGAGCAGAUCGAUGUGGCGCGCCACAUGGAUUUUAUUUUUUUCCUUACUCAUCCACUCCGCACGAGCUCAAGUUUCAUCCCUCUCCUCCUUCUCCAUCACGCUCUCUUCCACCCAGUCGUUUGCUUCCUUCGCUGUUCCGACCACAACCGAACAGAAUCAGCCCCAGAACCCCCGACGGUCAGGCAGAACAGUCAGAGGCACUGCUG
This 1209-nucleotide long non-coding RNA is filed under the name Sparus aurata (gilthead seabream). RNAcentral describes it as "lncRNA (ENSSAUG00010017643.1)". The record is from RNAcentral. Lineage: Eukaryota; Metazoa; Chordata; Actinopteri; Spariformes; Sparidae.